This 288-nucleotide ribosomal RNA is filed under the name Bacillus tequilensis. Its description in RNAcentral is "partial 16S ribosomal RNA". The stretch from base 37 to 288 matches the Rfam family "Bacterial small subunit ribosomal RNA", at positions 56 to 298 of the family's 1533-position model. The record is from RNAcentral. Lineage: Bacteria; Bacillati; Bacillota; Bacilli; Caryophanales; Bacillaceae.
AUCCACAUUCUCCGAUUUUUCCAAGCGCGUGCUAUCUGCAAGUCGAGCGGACAGAUGGGAGCUUGCUCCCUGAUGUUAGCGGCGGACGGGUGAGUAACACGUGGGUAACCUGCCUGUAAGACUGGGAUAACUCCGGGAAACCGGGGCUAAUACCGGAUGGUUGUUUGAACCGCAUGGUUCAAACAUAAAAGGUGGCUUCGGCUACCACUUACCCCUGGACCCGCGGCGCAUUAGCUAUUUGGUGAGGUAACGGCUCACCAAGGCAACGAUGCGUAACCAACCUGAAAG